GUAUUUUCGAAUUAAGUUAAUUCGUGAUAACAAAUGUUCAGACAAAUAAGUUAAAGGUGAUGUUGGUAAAUUAUAGAGGUUCCCCUUUCCACCACCCCAAAAGGUGACGAUAUAGAGGGUCUCCAAACGUUGCACACAAGGUGGAUAUGGAUUGUUUAAAAAGUGCCAUAAAACACUUGUUGUGAAUGAUCCUUCCGCAGGUUCACCUACGGAAA
RNAcentral lists this unclassified non-coding RNA (215 nucleotides) under uncultured fungus. Its description in RNAcentral is "sequence contains ITS1". Lineage: Eukaryota; Fungi. The record is from RNAcentral.